Pogoniulus pusillus (Red-fronted tinkerbird) is the source of this 348-nucleotide long non-coding RNA. RefSeq lists it as uncharacterized. Lineage: Eukaryota; Metazoa; Chordata; Aves; Piciformes; Lybiidae. The record is from RefSeq and is a predicted model, not a curated record. The transcript is spliced from 3 exons.
CCUCGCUCUUGAUGCAGCUCCUGCUCCGCAUCGAGCUCCUUCAGGCCUGCCCUAAGACUUGCAGCUUCAAACCCGGCGAGGUGUGCUGGGAUCCCGAGUGCCUCCCGCCUCCCGCUCCUGUGCCGGCGUGCUGCGAUGAUAAACAAGAGUGAAUUGUGGGCUCAGACAACAGCUGGAACAUGUGCAGUGGCAGCCAACUGGAUAAGGCUUCUGAAGAGGGAGUGGCACUAAACAAAACCAACAGAUUUAACUGACUGCCGAAGUUGUAUUCAGCUGCAUCUCCCAAGAGCUUGCUCAGCAAUGCCAACACAUUGUGGAAUCAAUGGGGAAGAGGAGGAAGACAAGCAG